CACGUAGGGCGCAAGCGUUGUCCGGAAUUACUGGGCGUAAAGGGCGCGUAGGCGGCCUGCUAAGUCGGAUGUGAAAACUCUGGGCUCAACCCAGAGCCUGCAUUCGAUACUGACGGGCUAGAGUACUGGAGGGGAAAGCGGAAUUCCUGGUGUAGCGGUGAAAUGCGUAGAUAUCAGGAGGAACACCGGUGGCGAAGGCGGCUUUCUGGACAGUAACUGACGCUGAGGCGCGAAAGCUAGGGGAGCAAACAGG
This 253-nucleotide ribosomal RNA is filed under the name uncultured bacterium. RNAcentral describes it as "partial 16S ribosomal RNA". It matches the Rfam family "Bacterial small subunit ribosomal RNA", at positions 524 to 776 of the family's 1533-position model. The record is from RNAcentral.